This 497-nucleotide ribosomal RNA is filed under the name uncultured bacterium. Its description in RNAcentral is "partial 16S ribosomal RNA". It matches the Rfam family "Bacterial small subunit ribosomal RNA", at positions 28 to 507 of the family's 1533-position model. The record is from RNAcentral.
GAUGAACGCUGGCGGCGUGCCUAAUACAUGCAAGUCGAGCGAACGGACGAGAAGCUUGCUUCUCUGAUGUUAGCGGCGGACGGGUGAGUAACACGUGGAUAACCUACCUAUAAGACUGGGAUAACUUCGGGAAACCGGAGCUAAUACCGGAUAAUAUUUUGAACCGCAUGGUUCAAAAGUGAAAGACGGUCUUGCUGUCACUUAUAGAUGGAUCCGCUCUGCAUUAGCUAGUUGGUAAGGUAACGGCUUACCAAGGCAACGAUGCAUAGCCGACCUGAGAGGGGGUCGGGCCUCACUGGAACUGAGACACGGUCCAGACUCCUACGGGAGGCAGCAGUAGGGAAUCUUCCGCAAAGGGCGAAAGCCUGACGGAGCAACGCCGCGUGGGUGAUGAAGGUCUUCGGAUCGUAAAACUCUGUUAUUAGGGAAAAACAUAUGUGUAAUUAACAGUGCACAUCUUGACGGUACCUAAUCAGAAAGCCACGGCUAACUACGUG